This 270-nucleotide ribosomal RNA is filed under the name uncultured bacterium. Its description in RNAcentral is "partial 16S ribosomal RNA". It matches the Rfam family "Bacterial small subunit ribosomal RNA", at positions 85 to 354 of the family's 1533-position model. The record is from RNAcentral.
UAAAAUCUUAGUGGCGGACGGGUGAGUAACGCGUGGGUAACCUGCCUUACACUGGGGGAGUAACACUUAGAAAUAGGUGCUAAUACCGCAUAAGCGCACGAAGCCGCAUGGAUUUGUGUGAAAAACUCCGGUGGUGUAAGAUGGACCCGCGUCUGAUUAGCUUGUUGGCGGGGUAACGGCCCACCAAGGCGACGAUCAGUAGCCGGCCUGAGAGGGUGGACGGCCACAUUGGGACUGAGACACGGCCCAAACUCCUACGGGAGGCAGCAG